UACAGUUUUGAUGCUAGAAUAAAAAUUUUAACUUAAAUGUGUUGUUCUCAUCAAUACCUAUCGAUUGACUGAAAAAGAGUUUGCCACGCCCUCUUUAACGACCACGAACUUUAAGAAACCGUAAAUAUGAACGUGGAUAUCGUGGAAACUAUCAAAGAUAGAGAAUUGGGAUUUCAGAUUUAGAUUCCGUAGCCUUGUACGCAGCGCAAGGGAUAAACUUCCGUUUAGCUCCAACGCCCGAUUUUUUUCAAACUUUCCAUAUCAACGUCUUUUUGGGUCCUGAUUACGGGAAAAAUACUCAAAGUUGGCGCAAAUAACGGGAUCUUGGAAAAUAACGGUAAAAGCCGUAAAAAUUUUUGUUUUUUGCUGUUUUUUCCGAAAAUAUAAGGAAAAUCAAAAAAUGUCUCAGACAAAAACAAAAGAUAUUUAUAAAAGGGAUAUUUUUUGUUAUAGUCAUUUUUUCCGAAAACUUAAUGGUUUUCGAAAAAAACGGAAAAGAAAUAUUUUAAAUAUUAGGUGAACAUUUAAAAAUAUUGCAUUAUCCCGCCAUAAAAAUGGGGUCAGAUAGUUACGAUUAAUCGAUAACAGCAUUUUAGGUGAUGGACCAUUUUCGAAUUUUUUGUACGAUAUAUCGUACUCAUGUUUCUUUUUCCCAUAUAGCGAAUUAUACAAUCACUAUGCAUUUAAAGCUUGAACUGAGAAGACCUGAAAAUGGAAGAACUUAAUUUGUUCAAUCAUUUUAUCAAAAGUGGCUUUAAUCGCCAAGGGAACGUCCUCAUCAUCAAUUUUAAUAAAGUUGACGUUUUCUGCCUUAGUAAACCGGAUCUUUUCGUUUCCGUUGCUUGUGUGCAGGACAUUGCCGGUAAAAUCGAGUUUCGCAUUCACUUGUUUAAGCAAGUCGAGCCCGAUAAUACCGUCAAAGUCUCUAAGUAAAGCCAUGGAUUGACUUCACUGUGAAUGUUUUUUCCGCUGCCACGAUGCCUUUCAGCCCCGGGAUUGGAGUAAUAUAAUUUUUUGAAAUGACUGUA
Molecule: long non-coding RNA, 1028 nt
Organism: Drosophila subpulchrella
Lineage: Eukaryota; Metazoa; Arthropoda; Insecta; Diptera; Drosophilidae
Exons: 2
Source: RefSeq, a predicted model, not a curated record